Molecule: ribosomal RNA, 497 nt
Filed under: uncultured bacterium
Lineage: Bacteria
Description: partial 16S ribosomal RNA
Rfam family: Bacterial small subunit ribosomal RNA
Source: RNAcentral
GAUGAACGCUGGCGGCGUGCCUAAUACAUGCAAGUCGAGCGAACAGACGAGGAGCUUGCUCCUUCGACGUUAGCGGCGGACGGGUGAGUAACACGUAGGUAACCUACCUAUAAGACUGGGAUAACUUCGGGAAACCGGAGCUAAUACCGGAUAAUAUUUCGAACCGCAUGGUUCGAUAGUGAAAGAUGGCUUUGCUAUCACUUAUAGAUGGACCUGCGCCGUAUUAGCUAGUUGGUAAGGUAACGGCUUACCAAGGCAACGAUACGUAGCCGACCUGAGAGGGUGAGCGGCCACCCUGGAAGUGAGCCCCGGUCCGGCCGCCUACGGGAGGCAGCAGUGGGGAAUCUUCCGCAAUGGGCGAAAGCCUGACGGACCAACGCCGCGUGAGUGAUGAAGGUUUUCGGAUCGUAAAACUCUGUUAUUAGGAAAGAACAAACUUGUAAGUAACUGUGCACGCCUUGACGGUACCUAAUCAGAAAGCCACGGCUAACUACGUG